This 1656-nucleotide ribosomal RNA is filed under the name Triticum aestivum (bread wheat). Its description in RNAcentral is "partial small subunit ribosomal RNA". The record is from RNAcentral. Lineage: Eukaryota; Viridiplantae; Streptophyta; Magnoliopsida; Poales; Poaceae.
AUGGAGAAGACACAGAAGAGGGUGGCCAUCGUCGGCGCCGGCGCGAGCGGCCUGGCGGCGUGCAAGCACGCCCUGGAGCGCGGCCUCCGGCCGGUCGUCUUCGAGUACUCGGACGCCAUCGGCGGCGUGUGGGCGCGCGCGCUGGCGUCGACGCGCCUACAGACGCCGCGCACGCUCUACGAGUUCUCCGACUUCCCCUGGCCGCCGGAGGUCGCCGAGGUGUUCCCGGACCACGCCCAGGCCACGGCGUACCUGCGCUCCUUCGCGGCGCGGUUCGGCGUGCUGGAGCGCGUCCGGUUCGGAUGCCGCGUGACGGCGAUGGAGUACGCCGGGGUCGGCGAGGAGGAGGUCCUGGCGUGGGACCAGUGGGCCGGCGAUGGGUCGGCCUUCGGCUCCGGUAGCGGCGAGUGGCGGCUCGCCGUGCAGCAGCAGGGAGGCGGCGACGUCGAGACAUAUGUUGCGGAUUUUGUGAUCCUGUGCACCGGGAGAUUCAGCGGCAUCACGAAUAUACCCACAUUCCCUCCCGACAAAGGGCCGGAGAAAUUCGAGGGCACGGUGAUCCACUCCAUGGACUACUCCGACAUGGGCACCGCAAAGGCCACCGAGCUCAUCAGGGGCAAGCUCGUCACCGUUGUUGGCUACCAGAAGUCUGCUCUUGACAUCGCCGCAGAGUGCGCAAACACAAACGGAGCCAAGUAUCCAUGCACAAUAAUAUGUCGAACGAAGAGAUGGAUCAUACCCGACUACUACGCUUGGGGCGUUCCCAUUGCGUUCUUCUACCUCAACCGCUUCUCGGAGCUCCUAGUACACAAGCCAGGAGAGGGGCUGCUCCUCAGCAUUCUUGCUACCUUCUUAUCACCCUUGAGAUGGCUGUUCUCGAAGUUUGUCGAGAGCUACUAUAGAUGGGCAGUACCCAUGGAUAAGCACGGCAUGGUGCCCGACCACAGUUUCUUCCAGGCCAUCAGCUCUUGCUUGGUUGCCAUAUUGCCAGACAAAUUCUAUGACAUGGUUGAUCAAGGAAGCAUUGUUCUCAAGAAAGCAAAGAGCUUCAGUUUCUGCAAACAAGGUGUCAUUGUCGAAGGUGAUUCCGCACCAAUAAAGAGCGACGUGGUCAUAUUCGCCACCGGAUACAAGGGAGACCAAAAGCUAAAGGAGAUGUUCACAUCAUCCUUGUUCAGAGACAUUGUGACUGGCCCACCAUCCAGUAUUAUUCCUCUCUACAGGUUUAGCUUGCCCUUCUCUCAAACAUGCUUGUUCUGUACAUAUGCAGAAGCUCACAGUUGUUUUUGUGAACUGAGCAGGCAAUGCGUGCAUCCUAGGAUCCCACAGCUGGCGAUCAUCGGCUACUCUGAGAGCAUAGCAAACCUGCACACAUUCGACAUGCGCUCCAAAUGGUUGGCGCAUUUCCUUGACGGGGUAUUUCAGUUGCCUAGCAUAAAGUCUAUGGAGAUGGAUAUAAAGGAAUGGGAUGAAUACAUGAAGAGGUACUCUCGCGAAUACUUCCGUCGAUCUUGCGUUGGAGCUCUCCACAUCUGGUACAAUGACCAGUUGUGCCAGGACAUGGGGUGUGAACCCAGGAGGAAGAAAGGGUUCUUUGCAGAUUGGCUGUUGCCAUAUCUUCCAUCAGAUUACAAGGAUAUCAACCUGAAGAAGUGA